CCCGCCGUUCCCCGCCGCCCGCCCCCGGGUCCCUCCCCCGAGGCCGAUCCCCCUCCCCCGGGUCCCUCCCCCGGCUCCAGGUCCCCCCGGCGCGGUGAGGCGAGGCCCGGCCCGGCGGGGCCCGGCCCGGCGCUGGGCGGAGCCGCCUCUGGCCCCUCCGAGCGGGCGGGCGCCUCGCGCUCAGCGUUUCGCCCCUCUCCUCUCCCCCCCCGGGCCUCGGCGGGGCCCGGCCUUACCGCUCAUGGUGGCCGGGGGCCGAGCCCGAGCGGCGGCGGGGCGGGGAGGAGGGGGCGGGCGCGCCCGGCGCGCUGAGGCGGCGGCCUAACCCCGCCGGUGACCGCCGAGGGGCUGCCGAGGGAGGGAGCCGCGCACCGCUGCCCCGGCCCCGCUGCCCGCCCCCGCCGCCUCCUCGCCCAAUGGCAGCGCGUCGAGGGCGCCCCGUCCUUCCGUCACCGCCCCGCCUGCCGCCAUCUCGCAGCGUAGGCCUCGUCACGACGCUGACACCGCAGGAGCUCUGUCACGAUAGCCAACCCUCUGCCCUGUCACGAUAUGGCAGCCCUGCGACAAAGCCGGGCUGGGAGCCGUCGCUCCUGGGCUGCCAUCAAAGCCCUCUCAGGACUCCACACAGCGCAGCCCAUCGCUUUGAGGCACUGCUGACCCCAGCCCCACGGAGCCCUUUUCCUCCACCCCUGGAAAGUUCUGCAGUCGCCCGCCAUGACCUCACCGCGCUUCCAGCGGAACUCUUUUAUUUUUGCUUUCCAUUCCUGGCAGAUGGCGAACCCCAGAGCAGUGCUGUGCCAAUGGCGAAGGGACGAACCUCCUGCCUCAGUGCUGCUGUGUGUCCCCGGGGUCGGUGAAGUUCCCUGGCUCUGCGCCCACCGGUGGGGCCGGGCCUGGUGCUGGGGAGGGCUGUGGGGCUUUAUCUUUUCCCUGCAUGGUGUGGGUGGGGGCACAUUGCUGUCCCUAAACUGGGUCACAGCCAGCGCCGUGCGGGGCGAAGGUUGACUCUGCCCCAUUCCUCGGGCAAAGGCUGCUCUGCAUCCCGGCUGUUGUCCGUGCUGCCUUGGUGAGGGCGGGGGGGAGGAGGGGAAGGGGGGCAAAUCCUCCUCCUGCCCCACUAUGGGGGCAGUGUAAAUGCCCAUCGUGCCCAACUGUGGGGGGGGUGAAUCUCUAUCCUGCCCCAUUGCUCCCUGGUGGGAACAGCUGGAGGCAGAUCUCUGUCCUGCUGCAGUAUUGAGACGGGGCUGGGGGGAUUUGGAUACAGCCCCCCCUCUUUAGACUCCCCUUCACCCCACCAGCAGCCCAUUACCUCCAUCAGCAGCUUCCCGUGAGCACCCUUCAAUUACCCCCUCACACUCCUCAUUAGCACUCAUUAAGACUCCAUUCCCACUCCCCCCCCAGUU
RNAcentral lists this long non-coding RNA (1403 nucleotides) under Phasianus colchicus (ring-necked pheasant). RNAcentral describes it as "lncRNA (ENSPCLG00000009963.1)". The record is from RNAcentral. Lineage: Eukaryota; Metazoa; Chordata; Aves; Galliformes; Phasianidae.